Molecule: ribosomal RNA, 492 nt
Filed under: uncultured bacterium
Lineage: Bacteria
Description: partial 16S ribosomal RNA
Rfam family: Bacterial small subunit ribosomal RNA
Source: RNAcentral
GAUGAACGCUAGCUACAGGCUUAACACAUGCAAGUCGAGGGGAAACGGCACCGAAAGCUUGCUUUUGAUGGGCGUCGACCGGCGCACGGGUGAGUAACGCGUAUCCAACCUGCCCAUCACUUGGGAAUAACCUUGCGAAAGUAAGACUAAUGCCCAAUGACAUCCCACGAAGGCAUCCGAAUGGGAUUAAAGAUUUAUCGGUGAUGGAUGGGGAUGCGUCUGAUUAGCUUGUUGGCGGGGUGACGGCCCACCAAGGCAACGAUCAGUAGGGGUUCUGAGAGGAAGGUCCCCCACAUUGGAACUGAGACACGGUCCAAACUCCUACGGGAGGCAGCAGUGAGGAAUAUUGGUCAAUGGGCGAGAGCCUGAACCAGCCAAGUAGCGUGCAGGAUGACGGCCCUAUGGGUUGUAAACUGCUUUUAUAAGGGAAUAAAGUGGGUCACGUGUGACUUUUUGCAUGUACCUUAUGAAUAAGGACCGGCUAAUUCCGUG